This 253-nucleotide ribosomal RNA is filed under the name uncultured bacterium. RNAcentral describes it as "partial 16S ribosomal RNA". It matches the Rfam family "Bacterial small subunit ribosomal RNA", at positions 524 to 776 of the family's 1533-position model. The record is from RNAcentral.
UACGAAGGGGACUAGCGUUGUUCGGAUUUACUGGGCGUAAAGCGCACGUAGGCGGCUUUCUAAGUCGGGGGUGAAAUCCUGGAGCUCAACUCCAGAACUGCCUUCGAUACUGGAAAGCUCGAGUCCGGGAGAGGUGAGUGGAACUGCGAGUGUAGAGGUGAAAUUCGUAGAUAUUCGCAAGAACACCAGUGGCGAAGGCGGCUCACUGGCCCGGUACUGACGCUGAGGUGCGAAAGCGUGGGGAGCAAACAGG